GCUUGUCUCAAAGAUUAAGCCAUGCACGUCUGAGAAUAAAGAGUUUUCUCUGAAUCUGCGAAUGGCUCAUUAUAUCAGUUAUAGUUUAUUUGAUAGUCCUUUACUACUUGGAUAACCGUAGUAAUUCUAGAGCUAAUACAUGCAUCAUCCCCCAUCUCGGGGUGUAUUUAUUAGAUGGAAACCAAUGCGGGGCAACCCGGAAUAUGGUGAAUCAUAAUAACUGUCGUAUCGAGCAAUCGAAGCGCCAUACAAGUUUCUGCCCUAUCAGCUUUGGAUGGUAGGGUAUUGGCCUACCAUGGCUUUAACGGGUAACGGAGAAUUAGGGUUCGAUUCCGGAGAGGGAGCCUGAGAAACGGCUACCACAUCCAAGGAAGGCAGCAGG
RNAcentral lists this ribosomal RNA (382 nucleotides) under Chrysocapsa paludosa. RNAcentral's name for it is "partial small subunit ribosomal RNA". It matches the Rfam family "Eukaryotic small subunit ribosomal RNA", at positions 30 to 432 of the family's 1831-position model. Lineage: Eukaryota; Chrysophyceae; Chromulinales; Chrysocapsaceae. The record is from RNAcentral.